AGAAUCAACGCUGGCGGCGUGCCUCAGACAUGCAAGUCGAACGAUUAAACUCCCCUUCGGGGGAGAUAUAAAGUGGCGCACGGGUGAGUAACACGUAGGUAAUUUGCCUUCGGGUGGGGAAUAACAGCCGGAAACGGCUGCUAAUACCGCAUAAUGCAGCGGCACCACAUGGUGACAGUUGUUAAAGCGGGGGAUCGCAAGACCUCGCGCCUGAAGAGAAGCCUGCGGCAGAUUGGCUAGUUGGUAGGUAAUGGCCUACAAGGCUACGAUCU
This 272-nucleotide ribosomal RNA is filed under the name uncultured bacterium. RNAcentral describes it as "partial small subunit ribosomal RNA". It matches the Rfam family "Bacterial small subunit ribosomal RNA", at positions 26 to 282 of the family's 1533-position model. The record is from RNAcentral.